AGUCAAUAGAUACCCGGGUAGUCCACGCCCUAAACGAUGAUCACUCGACAUCAGCGAUAAAACUGUUGGUGUCUGAAGCAAAAAGCAUUAAGUGAUCCACCUGGGAAGUACGAUCGCAAGAUUGAAACUCAAAGGAAUUGGCGGGGUCGCACAAGCGGUGGAGCAUGUGGUUUAAAUUCGAUGAUACGCGAGGAACCUUACCUGGGCUAGAAUGCAGAAUGACCGAGGGUGAAAGCUCUCUUUGUAGCAAUACACAUUUUGUAAGGUGCUGCAUGGCUGUCGUCAGCUCGUGCCGUGAGGUGUUGGGUUAAGUCCCGCAACGAGCGCAACCCCCGAUCACUAGUUGCCAUCAGGUAA
This 357-nucleotide ribosomal RNA is filed under the name uncultured bacterium. RNAcentral describes it as "bacterial SSU rRNA". It matches the Rfam family "Bacterial small subunit ribosomal RNA", at positions 775 to 1128 of the family's 1533-position model. The record is from RNAcentral.